CUCGUAGGCGGUUUGUCGCGUCUGCUGUGAAAAUCCAAGGCUCAACCUUGGACCUGCAGUGGGUACGGGCAGACUAGAGUGCGGUAGGGGAGAUGGGAAUUCCUGGUGUAGCGGUGGAAUGCGCAGAUAUCAGGAGGAACACCAAUGGCGAAGGCACAUCUCUGGGCCGUAACUGACGCUGAGGAGCGAAAGCGUGGGGAGCGAACA
Molecule: ribosomal RNA, 207 nt
Filed under: uncultured bacterium
Lineage: Bacteria
Description: partial 16S ribosomal RNA
Rfam family: Bacterial small subunit ribosomal RNA
Source: RNAcentral